This 490-nucleotide ribosomal RNA is filed under the name uncultured bacterium. RNAcentral's name for it is "partial 16S ribosomal RNA". It matches the Rfam family "Bacterial small subunit ribosomal RNA", at positions 30 to 507 of the family's 1533-position model. The record is from RNAcentral.
AUUGAACGCUGGCGGCAGGCCUAACACAUGCAAGUCGAACGGUAACAGGGAGCAGCUUGCUGCUUUGCUGACGAGUGGCGGACGGGUGAGUAAUGUCUGGGAAACUGCCUGAUGGAGGGGGAUAACUACUGGAAACGGUAGCUAAUACCGCAUAACGUCGCAAGACCAAAGAGGGGGACCUUAGGGCCUCUUGCCAUCGGAUGUGCCCAGAUGGGAUUAGCUAGUAGGUGGGGUAACGGCUCACCUAGGCGACGAUCCCUAGCUGGUCUGAGAGGAUGACCAGCCACACUGGAACUGAGACACGGUCCAGACUCCUACGGGAGGCAGCAGUGGGGAAUAUUGCACAAUGGGCGCAAGCCUGAUGCAGCCAUGCCGCGUGUAUGAAGAAGGCCUUCGGGUUGUAAAGUACUUUCAGCGGGGAGGAAGGGAGUAAAGUUAAUACCUUUGCUCAUUGACGUUACCCGCAGAAGAAGCACCGGCUAACUCCGUG